UACGGAGGAUCCAAGCGUUAUCCGGAUUUAUUGGGUUUAAAGGGUGCGUAGGCGGAAGAUUAAGUCGGUGGUGAAAUUUUGCAGCUCAACUGUAAAAGUGCCAUUGAUACUGGUUUUCUUGAGUAUGGAUGAAGUAGGCGGAAUUUGUGGUGUAGCGGUGAAAUGCAUAGAUAUCACGAGGAACUCCGAUUGCGCAGGCAGCUUACUAAACCAUAACUGACGCUCAGGCACGAAGGCGUGGGGAUCAAACAGGAUUAGAUACCCGGGUAGU
This 271-nucleotide ribosomal RNA is filed under the name uncultured prokaryote. RNAcentral's name for it is "partial 16S ribosomal RNA". It matches the Rfam family "Bacterial small subunit ribosomal RNA", at positions 524 to 794 of the family's 1533-position model. The record is from RNAcentral.